This 588-nucleotide ribosomal RNA is filed under the name uncultured Glomus. RNAcentral describes it as "SSU rRNA". It matches the Rfam family "Eukaryotic small subunit ribosomal RNA", at positions 624 to 1213 of the family's 1831-position model. Lineage: Eukaryota; Fungi; Glomeromycota; Glomeromycetes; Glomerales; Glomeraceae. The record is from RNAcentral.
AAGCUCGUAGUUGAAUUUCGGGAUCGAUGGGUCGGUCAUGCCCUCGGUAUGUACUGAUCCCAUUGGUUCUCACCUUCUAAGGAACCAUGAUGUCAUUCGGUUGAUGUUGUGGGGAAUUAGGACUGUUACCUUGAAAAAAUUAGAGUGUUUAAAGCAGGCCAACGCUUGAAUACAUUAGCAUGGAAUAAUGAAAUAGGACAUCCGAUUCUAUUUUGUUGGUUUCUAGGAUCGAUGUAAUGAUUAAUAGGGAUAGUUGGGGGCAUUAGUAUUCAAUUGUCAGAGGUGAAAUUCUUGGAUUUAUUGAAGACUAACUACUGCGAAAGCAUUUGCCAAGGAUGUUUCCAUUAAUCAAGAACGAAAGUUAGGGGAUCGAAGACGAUCAGAUACCGUCGUAGUCUUAACCAUAAACUAUGCCGACUAGGGAUCGGAUGAUGUUGAUUUUUUAAUGACUCAUUCGGCACCUUACGGGAAACCAAAGUGUUUGGGUUCCGGGGGGAGUAUGGUCGCAAGGCUGAAACCUAAAGGAAUUGACGGAAGGGCACCACCAGGGGGUGAGCCUGCGGCUUAAUUUGACUCCACACGGGGAAA